UUUUCCUCCACAGCAGGUGCUAUUUCAAACCGUGUGGCUGAAGAUAGAAAACAGGCCAAAGCUGUUGUGGUUAAGGACGAAAAGAAAAAGCAACUCAUGUCUGAUGAGCCUUCUAAGCCGAGUGAUGAUAAGAACUUGCAUAUUUGCUACAUUAUAGGUCAUUUUUACACCGGAAAAACCAAGCUUCAAGAUCGUAUUCGAGAUACCAGUAUUCAACAAGGUGCUGAGGAAUAUUGCAGUAUAUCACACAAAAAAUGCUGAUUAUUGACCACCAAUCAUUCAAUAACUCCCAUUUUUGGGGUUCAAGUCUAUGUUGAUAUUGCAAUUUUGGUUGUUAACAUUAUGCGUGGCUGCGAGCCACAAACUAUAAAGUUGCUCAAUCUAUUAAAAACGAGUAACAAAAAAUUCACCGUCGCCUAGAAUAAGGUGGAUAUGAUUCCUCGCUGGAAAACAUGUCCUAAUGCUCCAAUUUGUAAAGCAGUGAUGCAGCAGGAUCGGUAUGUUCGAGCUGAGUUUGAAAUAAGGGUCAUUGAGAUUAUUGCUCAAUUCAAGAGUCAGGGGCUAAAUACUGAAUUGUAUUAUAAAAAUAAAAACAAAACAAUGGGAGAAACAUUCAACAUUGUGCCAACAAGUGCAAUAAGGUUAUUGAAGGCUAUGGAACUACUACUGAUGUUGUUUUAGUUAAUGGUGUUCUUCAUGAAGGUGGUCAAAUAGUUGUAUCUGGAAUGCAGG
Molecule: long non-coding RNA, 732 nt
Organism: Medicago truncatula (barrel medic)
Lineage: Eukaryota; Viridiplantae; Streptophyta; Magnoliopsida; Fabales; Fabaceae
Exons: 4
Source: RefSeq, a predicted model, not a curated record